AGCAGCCGCGGUAAUUCCAGCUCCAAUAGCGUAUAUUAAAGUUGUUGCAGUUAAAAAGCUCGUAGUUGAAUUUCGGGAUUAGUAGGUUGGUCGUGCCUCUGGUAUGUACUCGCCUUACUGGUUCCUCCUUCUUGAAGAACUGUAAUGCCAUUAAUUUGGUGUUGCAGGGAAACAGGACUGUUACUUUGAAAAAAUUAAAGUGUUUAAAGCAGGCCAAUGCCUGAAUACAUUAGCAUGGAAUAAUGAAAUAGGACGUUGAUCCCAUUUUGUUGGUUUCUAGGAUUGACGUAAUGAUUAAUAGGGAUAGUUGGGGGGCAUUAGUAUUCAAUUGUCAGAGGUGAAAUUCUUGGAUUUAUUGAAGACUAACUACUGCGAAAGCAUUUGCCAAGGAUGUUUUCAUUAAUCAAGAACGAAAGUUAGGGGAUCGAAGACGAUCAGAUACCGUCGUAGUCUUAACCAUAAACUAUGCCGACUAGGGAUCGGAUGAUGUUUAAUUUUUUAUGUACUCUAGUUCGCGCCU
RNAcentral lists this ribosomal RNA (520 nucleotides) under uncultured Glomus. RNAcentral describes it as "SSU rRNA". It matches the Rfam family "Eukaryotic small subunit ribosomal RNA", at positions 569 to 1088 of the family's 1831-position model. The record is from RNAcentral. Lineage: Eukaryota; Fungi; Glomeromycota; Glomeromycetes; Glomerales; Glomeraceae.